Molecule: ribosomal RNA, 941 nt
Filed under: Lactarius sp. (in: basidiomycete fungi)
Lineage: Eukaryota; Fungi; Basidiomycota; Agaricomycetes; Russulales; Russulaceae
Description: Lactarius sp. (in: Russulaceae) partial large subunit ribosomal RNA
Rfam family: Eukaryotic large subunit ribosomal RNA
Source: RNAcentral
AAUAAGCGGAGGAAAAGAAACUAACAAGGAUUCCCCUAGUAACUGCGAGUGAAGCGGGAAAAGCUCAAAUUUAAAAUCUGGCGGUCUUUGGCCGUCCGAGUUGUAAUUUAGAGAAGCGUCUUCCGCGCCGGACCGUGCACAAGUCUCCUGGAAUGGAGCGUCAUAGAGGGUGAGAAUCCCGUCUUUGGCACGGAUGCCCGGUGCUUCUGUGAUGCGCUCUCGAAGAGUCGAGUUGUUUGGGAAUGCAGCUCAAAAUGGGUGGUGAACUCCAUCUAAAGCUAAAUAUUGGCGAGAGACCGAUAGCGAACAAGUACCGUGAGGGAAAGAUGAAAAGCACUUUGGAAAGAGAGUGAAACAGUACGUGAAAUUGUUGAAAGGGAAACGCUUGAAGUCAGUCGCGUCGACCGAGACUCAGCCUUGCCUCGGCUUGGUGUACUUCUCGGCCCGACGGGUCAGCGUCAAUUUUGCCCCUCGGAUAAUGGCAAGGGAAAGGUGGCACCUUUACGGGUGUGUUAUAGUCUCCUGUCGCAUGCGAGGGGUGGGAUUGAGGAACUCAGCGCGCACCUUGGUGUCGGGGCUUCGGCCCACGUCACGCGCUUAGGAUGCUGGCGUAAUGGCUUUAAACGACCCGUCUUGAAACACGGACCAAGGAGUCCAACACGCCCGCGAGUGUUCGGGUGGAAAACCCGUGCGCGUAAUGAAAGUGAAAGUUGGGACCUCUGUCGUGGAGGGCACCGACGCCCGGACCAGACCUUCUGUGACGGAUCUGCGGUAGAGCGUGUGUGUUGGGACCCGAAAGAUGGUGAACUAUGCCUGAAUAGGGUGAAGCCAGAGGAAACUCUGGUGGAGGCUCGUAGCGAUUCUGACGUGCAAAUCGAUCGUCAAAUUUGGGUAUAGGGGCGAAAGACUAAUCGAACCAUCUAGUAGCUGGUUCCUGCCGA